GGUGUUGAAGCUCAGUGGUUAAAAGAUGUUGGACUAUUGAUCGGAAGGUCGUUAGUUCAAAUCCCAGCACUG
This is a non-coding RNA of Pangasianodon gigas (Mekong giant catfish), 72 nucleotides long. The record is from the annotation of a GenBank genome assembly. NCBI's taxonomy places the organism in Eukaryota, Metazoa, Chordata, Actinopteri, Siluriformes, Pangasiidae.